This 468-nucleotide ribosomal RNA is filed under the name uncultured bacterium. RNAcentral describes it as "partial 16S ribosomal RNA". It matches the Rfam family "Bacterial small subunit ribosomal RNA", at positions 28 to 507 of the family's 1533-position model. The record is from RNAcentral.
GACGAACGCUGGCGGCGUGCUUAACACAUGCAAGUCGAACGGAGAAGCUCCAGCUUGCUGGAGUGGAUCAGUGGCGAACGGGUGAGUAACACGUGAGCAACCUGCCCCUGACUCUGGAAUAAGCGCUGGAAACGGCGUCUAAUACUGGAUACGAGAAGUGUCCGCAUGGGCACUUUCUGUAAAGUUUGUCGGUUGGGGAUGGGCUCGCUGCCUAUCAGCUUGUUGGUGAGGUAAUGGCUCACCAAGGCGACGACGGGUAGCCGGCCUGAGAGGGCGACCGGCCACACUGGGACUGAGACACGGCCCAGAAUCCUACGGGAGGCAGCAGUGGGGAAUAUUGCACAAUGGGGGAAAGCCUGAUGCAGCGACGCCGCGUGAGGGAUGACGGCCUUCGGGUUGUAAACAUCUUUCAGCAGGGAAGAAGCGAAAGUGACGGUACCUGAAGAAGAAGCACCGGCUAACUACGUG